CCUACGGGAGGCUGCAGUGGGGAAUAUUGGACAAUGGGGGGAACCCUGAUCCAGCCAUGCCGCGUGUGUGAAGAAGGCCCUCGGGUUGUAAAGCACUUUCAGUGAGGAAGAACGCCUGGUGGUUAAUACCCAUCAGGAAAGACAUCACUCACAGAAGAAGCACCGGCUAACUCCGUGCCAGCAGCCGCGGUAAUACGGAGGGUGCGAGCGUUAAUCGGAAUUACUGGGCGUAAAGCGCGCGUAGGUGGCUUGAUAAGCCGGUUGUGAAAGCCCCGGGCUCAACCUGGGAACGGCAUCCGGAACUGUCAAGCUAGAGUGCAGGAGAGGAAGGUAGAAUUCCCGGUGUAGCGGUGAAAUGCGUAGAGAUCGGGAGGAAUACCAGUGGCGAAGGCGGCCCUCUGGACUGAAACUGACACUGAGGUGCGAAAGCGUGGGUAGCAAACAGGAUUAGAUACCCCUGUAGUC
Molecule: ribosomal RNA, 465 nt
Filed under: Vreelandella stevensii
Lineage: Bacteria; Pseudomonadati; Pseudomonadota; Gammaproteobacteria; Oceanospirillales; Halomonadaceae
Description: partial 16S ribosomal RNA
Rfam family: Bacterial small subunit ribosomal RNA
Source: RNAcentral